This 315-nucleotide ribosomal RNA is filed under the name uncultured bacterium. Its description in RNAcentral is "bacterial SSU rRNA". It matches the Rfam family "Bacterial small subunit ribosomal RNA", at positions 28 to 334 of the family's 1533-position model. The record is from RNAcentral.
GAUGAACGCUAGCUACAGGCUUAACACAUGCAAGUCGAGGGGCAUCAGGAAGAAAGCUUGCUUUCUUUGCUGGCGACCGGCGCACGGGUGAGUAACACGUAUCCAACCUGCCCUUUACUCGGGGAUAGCCUUUCGAAAGAAAGAUUAAUACCCGGCGGUCUCGGAUGGCCGCAUGACUGUCCGAGUGAAGAUUUAUCGGUAUGAGAUGGCGAUGCGUCCCAUUAGCUUGUUGGUGAGGUAACGGCUCACCAAGGCAUCGAUGGGUAGGGGUUCUGAGAGGAAGGUCCCCCACAUUGGAACUGAGACACGGUCCAA